ACAGUGACCAAGAUGUGGGAAUUAACCAGGGACCUUAAAGCACCUGCUAUAAUAAUGCUCACUGAGGUAAAUGCUAAAUGGAGAGGAUGCCAAAUGGAAAUCCAGAUCUUCAGGAGGCAAUACAGAAACUCUGAAAUGAAAUUUGCUUACACAUGUACAGGCCGAAGCUAAUCAGAUCAAAGGGUAUGCAUUCAUUGGAAAGGAAAGAAGACAUUAAAAAUAAGGCUGCCUUAGUGCUACACCAUAUUCAUAACAUAAAGAUGAAAAAAAAUGGCAAGGGCUAGGAAAAGCGCUAAUAAAAAUGUGGGCCAGCAACAUCAGCAUCACCUUGGAGCAUGGUAAACAUUCCAGGAUUGAGGCCCAGGAAUAUUUGCUUUAACAAGCUCUCCAGGAUUUAAAAUCAUUAUUGAUACUACAUGAACUUGUUCUUGGAGACUCAGAUGACCAAUGACACCAAGGAAUCUCAUGGCAAAACCCCACAAAUCCAACUUGUAGGCCACAGGGUACCAGCCCUCAAGCAUGGUUGAUAAAACUAUUCACAAAAUAUCAUUGGAACAGUUGAAGAGAUGGAACUUACGAUAGGAAUUGGUGGAAAAAAGUCUUUUUCCCCCUUCACAUGGACUGCAGUUUUGAACUGUUAUCAAGUUGUCUGAUUUAACACCAAAGAGUGACUGAUACUCAGGCCCUGAAAGAGAAGGAGAGAAUCCCUCCAGGUCAGAAGAAGAAGAUAAUGAUUUUUUAAGAGUGUAUCAAGAGAUUGAUGACAUAAAGAGGAAUUUCAGGCAGGCGAAGGAAAUGACUGGAAAUAAACGUCUCAAGCUUUGCUGGUCUUCCGCCGUCGUCUUUCAGAGCUGCCACAGGCAACAACUUCACAGCCUUAUUGACCAUGAAGCAGAGAUGGUUUCCAUUAAAAUUUGCGAAAUUAACUCUCUGGAUGCUUUUGGACAAAGAACAAAAAGUCAGGCCUGAGGUUUCACUGACUUAACAAUAUCCACUUUUCUUUUAUGUAUUAUUGUGAUUUUUUACUCUCCUCUUUUAAACAAUCAUUGUUUCAAGCAUUUUUAAAACUAUCAGUACAUCAAACUUCUAUGAAUUAGGGAAGUAAUAUUAAACAAAUUCGAUCAUGAUGCUCCCUUCACAGAUCAUGUUUACCCUGAAUUCCAGCCCUAAGCUUUCUGUUCUCUUGCUGGACCACUGAGAAGGAACUUGUAAGCAGUGUGAAUUUGAGACCACACUUUCAUCUGUGACAGUGCGUAGUGUCACUUUCGGAAUAUCUUGGGAAAAAGAAGUUAUAACUGUGUAUAAUUUUGUAUCUUCUUAUCUUCCUUGUAGAGGGUUACCAAACGAUUCAUUAACUUGUCAGAUUAUUUGGUUACUACAUGUCUCAAUCAUUUCUACUCAUUUAAUUUUUCACCUCUACACUUUGUGUUAACUGAGCAACUUUGAUGUUUAAUUGUUUGCCUUUCCUUACAUUAUGGAUUUCUUAUUUGAAAUAUCCUGGCUUACUUCCAUUUUUAUAAUCCCUCUGCCCCUCUCUGCCCCUUCCUUCCUUCCUCCUUCUUUUCCUGCCUCCUGGUUCUCUCCCUUAUUUCAAAAUAAGGGGAGGGUCAUAGAUUUCUAACCCUUAUUCAAUAUUUAUCAUGUGCUAAGUAUAGAGGUAGAUAUAUAUGUAUCUGUAUGCAUAUUUACAUAUAUAAUUCUUUUUCUAGUUUCACAGUCAUACUCUGAGGUAGGAAUUAUCAUCCCCACCUUGCCCCGCCAGUUUGCAGAUAGAGCUUAGAAAGCACAGGUGAACUGACCCAAGUUAGGAGAUGGCAGAGUCAGAGACGGUAUCAAACUAAAUACUUCCUUUCCCUAUAGAAUGAGAUUCUUAACCAUUCUGCCUAUGCUUUUGACCAGAGCCACAGAAUGUCCUUUAAAAUAGGAAGUUAGGAGUUCUCCUUGUGGCACAGUGGUUAAUGAAUCCGACUAGGAACCAUGGGGUUGUGGGUUUGAUCCCUGGCCUUGCUCAGUGGGUUAAGGAUCCGGUGUUGUUGUGAGCUGCGGUGUAGGUUGCAGACGCGGCUCAGAUCCCGCAUUACUGUGGCUCUAGCAUAGGCCGGUGGCUACCGCUCUGACCCUUAGCCUGGGAACCUCCAUAUGCCAUGGGAAGCGGCACUAGAAAAGGCAAAAAGACAAAAAAA
Molecule: long non-coding RNA, 2183 nt
Filed under: Sus scrofa (pig)
Lineage: Eukaryota; Metazoa; Chordata; Mammalia; Artiodactyla; Suidae
Description: lncRNA (multiple genes)
Source: RNAcentral